UUACAAUUAACCUGAAACUGCGUGCGCUGAUUUCACGCAAGUUUAUGUUGCGCCAACUUUUUUUUUAAACCAGGUCGCGAAUGCACGAGGCUGGGAGUAGCACGUCGUUUUGUGGGUAAAUUAUUAAAGAAGUCAUCCAGAUUACACCUGUUGAAGUUAUCUCCAUAUAUUUGGCAAUAAUGGACCCAAUUCUAUAGCUGUUUUAUACAGCAAGACCACAAAUCUCAGAUGGGGACAAGGAGGCAUACAGAAGCAAGAUGAAUCAGUGGUUGAGUGGUGUUACAACAAGAACCAUAAACGCAAGGUGAGCAAGAUGUGAGAAUUGAAUGUCGCCUUCAGGAAGUGGAAGUUGGGAGAACACACACCAAUCCUUAUUGAGGAGUCAGCGGUGGAUAAGAUUGUUCUUCAAAACUGGUGAAGGGUCUCAGAACUGAAACAUUAAAUUUUGUUUCUCUUCUCACAAUAAUGCUGCUGGAGGCAGUGCAGUUGUCUCUUGGCUCCAACAGCCCAGGUUCAAAUUCUUCCCCUCCAGCAUCAGAGUUAUGAACAGUUCAUGAAGCCAUGAGCCAUUAUUCCUUUCUUUUCACACUAUUAAUUUUGAAUUUUGUAUUAAUUUUAUAUCUGCAUUGUAUUAUUGCUGUAAAGCAAUAAAUUUCACAUCAUAUAAGACAGUAAUAAUAAACCUGAUUCCGAUGCUCUUCAUUGACUACAGCCCUGCAUUCAACACUAUCAUCCCCUCAAAGCUAAUCAAUCAGCUCCAAGAAAUAAGCUUCAGAACCUCUUUGUGCAACUGGAUCCUCAAUUUGCUCACUGGCAGACCCCAGUCAGUUCAGAUUGGCAACAACAUCUCCUCGGCAAUCACCAUCAGCAUGGGUGCACCCACAAGGUUGUGUGCUCAGCUCCCUGCUCCACUCACUACAUACUCAUGUCUCUGAGACUAAGUAGAGCUCCAAUACCAUUUUUAAGUUUGCUGAUGACACCACUGUUGUCAGAUGAUUCAAAGGUGGUCAUGAACUGUCAGCAUAUAGAAGGGUUAUUGAAAAUCUGGCUGAGUGGCGCCUCAACAAAAACCUCUUACUCAUUGUUAGCAAGAUGAAGGAGAUGAUUGACUUUGGGAGGAGGAAACCGAAGGGUCAUGACUCAGUCAUCAUCAGGGAUUAGAGGUGGAGAGGGUCAACAACUUUAAAUUCCUUGGUGUUAUCAUUUCAGAGGAUCUGUCCUGGGUCCAACACAUAUGUGCCGUUACAAAGAAGACCUGUCAGCAGCUUUGCUUUCUAGAAGUUCGCAAGGAUUUGGUAUGUCAUCUAAAACUUUGACAGACUUCUAUAGCUAAAUGGUGGAGAAUAUACUGCCAGGUUGUAUCUCAGCCUGGUAUGGAAGCUCCAAUGCCAGUAGACAGAAAAGCCAACAAAAAUAAUGAUACAGCCCAGUCCAUCACAGGUAAAGCCCUCCCCACCACUGAGCACAUCUACAAGAAGUGAUGUCACAGAAAGCAGCAUCUGCCAUCGAAGACCCCAACCAUGCUGUCUUCUCACUGCUGCCAUCAGGAAGAAUGAACAAGAGCCUCAGAUCCCACACCACCAGGUUCAGGAACGGUUAUUGCUCCUCAACCAUCAAGUUCUUGAACCAGAGCAAAUAAUGUCAUUCAACUUCACUCACCCCAUCACUGAAAUGUUCCCAUGACAUUUGGACUCACUUUCAAGGACCUUACAACUCAUGUUCACCAUAUUUAUUGCUUAUUUGUUUAUUAACAUUUUUUUAAAUUUUUUGUGUUUGCACAGUUUGUUGUCUUUUGCACAUUUACCAUGAAUG
Long non-coding RNA from Hypanus sabinus (Atlantic stingray), 1812 nucleotides. RefSeq lists it as uncharacterized. Lineage: Eukaryota; Metazoa; Chordata; Chondrichthyes; Myliobatiformes; Dasyatidae. The record is from RefSeq and is a predicted model, not a curated record. The transcript is spliced from 4 exons.